GUUGAUCCUGCGGGAAGUUGCUGCUAUCUGGAUUCGACUAAGCCAUGCAAGUACGGGUUCUUCGAGAAUACCGGCUGAUCGCUCAGUAACACGUCGAUAAUCUAACCUUAUGUUUGGAAUAACCUUGGGAAACUGAGGGUAAUACCGAAUAUGGAAAUGGUACUGGAAUAUCUAUUUCUUCAAGUAAGGAUGAGUCGGCGGCGGAUUAGAUUGUUGGUGAGGUAAUGGCUCACCAAGUCGAAGAUCCGUAGGGGCCUUGAGAGAGGGAGCCCCGAGAAGAGCACUGAGAUACUGGCUCUAGCCCUACGGGGUGCAGCAGGCGCGAAACCUCUACAAUGCACCAACGUGUGAUAGGGGGAUCCAGAGUGCUUAGUUUACUAGGCUUUUGCCAAGUGUAAAUAACUUGGCGAAUAAGUGGUGGGCAAGACUGGUGCCAGCCGCCGCGGUAACACCAGCGCCACGAGUGGCAACUGUAAUUAUUGGGCCUAAAGCGUCCGUAGCCGGUUUGAUAAAUUUCUUGUGAAACUGUUCAGCUCAACUGAACAACGUGCAGGAAACACUGUCAGACUUGGGACUGGGAGGAAUUUGGAGUAUUGUGGGGGUAGCGGUAAAAUGUUAUAAUCCCUACGAGACUACCGGUGGCGAAGGCGCCAAACUAGAACAGAUCCGACGGUGAGGGACGAAAGCCAGGGUAGCAAACCGGAUUAGAUACCCGAGUAGUCCUGGCUGUAAACGCUGCGAGCAGGAUGUUGCGUAUUCUUCGAGAAUGCGCAGUAUCGAAGAGAAGUCGUUAAGCUCGCCGCCUGGGAAGUAUGGUCGCAAGGCUGAAACUUAAAGGAAUUGGCGGGGGAGCACUACAAGGGGUGCGGCGUGCGGUUUAAUCUAACUCAACGCAGAAAAUCUCACCAGCAGCGACGGCAGGAUGAAAGUCAGAUUGAAGGUUUUACUUGACGAGCCGAGAGGUAGUGCAUGGCCGCCGUCAGCUCGUUCCGUAAGGUGUCCUGUUAAGUCAGGCAACGAGCGAGACCUGUACCUACAAUUGCCAGCGGGUUCUUUCGAACGAUCGGGCACAUUGUGGGAACUGCCCUGGAAACAGGGAGGAAGGUGCAGGCUACGGUAGGUCUGUAUGCUCCGAAUCUGCUGGGCUACACGCGCGCAACAAUGGUAGCGACAAUGGGAUGCAACUCCGGAAGGAGAAGCUAAUCCUCCAAACGUUACCUCAGUACAGAUUGAGGAUUGUAACUCAUCCUCAUGACGCUGGAAUCCCCCUAAUCAGGUGUUAGCAUCGCCCGGUGAAUAUGUCCCUGCUCCUUGCACACACUGCCCGUCAAAUCAACCGAGUUGGGCCUGGAUGAGAUGUUGGCUUUUACCAAUAGCGAAUCUUGGCUUAGUGAGGUGGGUUAAGUCGUCACAAGGUC
RNAcentral lists this ribosomal RNA (1418 nucleotides) under metagenome. RNAcentral's name for it is "bacterial SSU rRNA". It matches the Rfam family "Archaeal small subunit ribosomal RNA". The record is from RNAcentral.